Molecule: ribosomal RNA, 166 nt
Filed under: uncultured bacterium
Lineage: Bacteria
Description: partial 16S ribosomal RNA
Rfam family: Bacterial small subunit ribosomal RNA
Source: RNAcentral
UAGGGAAGUCUUCGGCAAUGGACGAAAGUCUGACCGAGCAACGCCGCGUGAGUGAAGAAGGUUUUCGGAUCGUAAAACUCUGUUGGUAGAGAAGAACGUUGGUGAGAGUGGAAAGCUCAUCAAGUGACGGUAACUACCCAGAAAGGGACGGCUAACUACGUGCCAG